AGAGUUUGAUCCUGGCUCAGAUUGAACGCUGGCGGAAUGCUUUACACAUGCAAGUCGAACGGCAGCACGGGAGCUUGCUCCUGGUGGCGAGUGGCGAACGGGUGAGUAAUAUAUCGGAACGUACCCAGUCGUGGGGGAUAACUCUCCGAAAGGAGAGCUAAUACCGCAUACGUCCUGAGGGGGAAAGCGGGGGAUCGCAAGACCUCGCGCGAUUGGAGCGGCCGAUAUCGGAUUAGCUAGUUGGUGAGGUAAAGGCUCACCAAGGCGACGAUCCGUAGCGGGUCUGAGAGGACGGCCCGCCACACUGGAACUGAGACACGGUCCAGACUCCUACGGGAGGCAGCAGUGGGGAAUUUUGGACAAUGGGGGCAACCCUGAUCCAGCCAUUCCGCGUGAGUGAAGAAGGCCUUCGGGUUGUAAAGCUCUUUCAGCUGGAGCGAAACGGUACGCUCUAACAUAGCGUGCUAAUGACGGUACCAGCAGAAGAAGCACCGGCUAACUACGUGCCAGCAGCCGCGGUAAUACGUAGGGUGCGAGCGUUAAUCGGAAUUACUGGGCGUAAAGCGUGCGCAGGCGGAUUGUUAAGCAAGACGUGAAAUCCCCGGGCUUAACCUGGGAAUGGCGUUUUGAACUGGCAGUCUAGAGUGCGUCAGAGGGGGGUGGAAUUCCACGUGUAGCAGUGAAAUGCGUAGAGAUGUGGAGGAACACC
Molecule: ribosomal RNA, 709 nt
Filed under: uncultured bacterium
Lineage: Bacteria
Description: bacterial SSU rRNA
Rfam family: Bacterial small subunit ribosomal RNA
Source: RNAcentral